CGGCGCACGCGUCCGCGCCCAAUACGCCGGCGCAGGCGGAGGCAGCCGGCGCGCUGCUCCGGAGGUCCAUGUCGGGAGUAAAGUCCUCGAAGCGCUGUCUAUGGAAAUGAUUGCAAGUGACAGGGUGAUAGAGGAUGCAACUUGGCGCUCAUCACUUUCUACCGUGUGCCCAAAAACGAUGUGCUGAUGCCUGCUGUUUCUGUUUGGUACUAUGAAUGGUGACUAAUCAAUCAGUGAAUGAGGCCAUGGUUAACUUGCCUCGACGUUGACGGUCUUUGUAAUUCAGACGUUGUUGAUUCUCUGUUCCUUCCUGUUGUUGACGGUCUCAACCAAUGUAUCAGUUGUUGGGGAACAGACUCGCCUUUCAAACACUGCAAGAAUCAGAAUCCUCGAAAAGCUACUACUGUUUGCAAGUGAAACGAUUUCAUGCAGGCCGGCGGGCCGUCGUACGCGGUGGAGCUGGGGCGGUUGGACAGGCUGAGCUCGACGGCGAGCAGCGUCCCCGGCAAGCUGGCGCCGCCGACGUCCAUCCUCGACCAGCUCACGGCGCUCUUCGCCACCAACGGGCUCUCGCACACCGACAUGAUCGCCCUCUCCGGUACGUAUGUAUAAUUAUGCAUUGCUUCGAUGAUGUACGUAUGGGCUCUGUGUGCGUUUGCUUUGCUUGCACAUCGAAAUCGAGUUAGGAUUCGCCGCCGUCGAGGUCUGUCAGGAGUAUGACCCGAGGGAGAUUUGCAUGUUGAUGCAACCAUUGAUGCGGCAGGAGUAUGACCCGAGGUCUGGCUCCGUCUGCUUGGACAUCAUUAACCAGACGUGGAGCCCAAUGUUUGGGUGUUCUGAAGUUAAAACCAAACGCAAUGGAAACUGAUGAACGGCCCAUUGAUCCUUCUUGUCCAUGUAUGGUCUGCAAAAACUAUACACGUGCAUACUUGCAUUGUCUUGUCACGAAAGAUCAUAUGGGCUCUCAACUGCUGUCAUAUCACAAUUUAUCGUUUAUGAUGCAGUUAAGUAGAGAUCUCCACAUGUCGAUUCUUGAAGGACGAUUUCCAGAAUUCGUGAGAGGAUUCUUGAGGGUGCAGUUUCCGAAGGGCGACGUGCCAAAGUGGGUUCACAAUGCAAUGGAGGUUGCCGGCAUUGACAUAUCGGAGUGCUGCACCCCGACCAACUGUCAGCAUGACGCAAUGGAGGCCGCUGGCGUCGACAUAGCGGAGUUUUGCCCGCCGACCAAGUGCCCGUGACGCGGAACGCUCGGGGGAAUUCAUUACAUAUACCAUGGUACCGGUUGACGAUAGGAAGGGUUGCCGCGUGGAAGUGAUCCUUCAUACUUAACAUGACGCUUUUUCACGAGGUUUUGCUUUAGAUUGGGUUUCAGGUAAACAGGGAAAAGGUAUGCAGCUGCCAAUGAAGUGAAGAAAGCAGUCAAGACCUUUGAUGUGAUCCAGAGGUUUAAAGUGGAAGCGGACCAAACUGUAUUUUAUUCCCUUCUUCGUGCUCUUUGCAGAAGUAAAAACAUAGAAGAUGCUGAGGAGUUGCUUCUUGCAAGAAGAAAUUUUUUCCCACUCACAACAGAAGGUUUCAAUAUAGUACUUGAUGGUUGGUGUAACAUAUUCACCGAUCUGGCCGAAGUAAAGAGAAUUUGGAGAGAAAUGUCAAAUUGCUGCAUUACUCCUGAUGGUACGUCUUAUGCUCUCAUGGUCUGUUGUUUCUCUAAGGUAGGGAACCUUUUUGAUACUUUGAGGGUUUACGAUGAGAUGAAGAAGAGGGGUUGGAGUCCUCGUAUUGAUGUCUAUAACUAACUUAUUUAUGUUCUGACAAGAGAGAAUUGCGUGAAGGAUGCAAAAAAUGUUCUCAGUAAAAUGGUAGAUGAAGGUUUCCAACCGGAUGUUGAAACAGACAAAAGUAUUAUAGUUCCACUUUGUGAAAGUUGCAAGCUUGAGGAAGCACGGAAGAUAAUGGAAGACAUGAAAAUGAAGGGCAUUGUUCCAACCAUUUCGACGUACCAUGCAUUUUUGAAACAGGAAGGCAUUGACGAAACACUCCAGCUACCGAAGAAAAUGAAAGAAGAUGGUUGUGGCCCUAACAGUGACACAUUUCUCAUGCUCAUUGAUAAGUUUAUCCAACUGAAUGAGUCUGGAAAUGCUCUGAGGGUGUGGACUGAAAUGCGAAGAUACGACAUUAGGCCUGGUUAUGCACACUACAUGGCAGUGGUCCAAGGUUUGGUUAAAAUGGAUGUAUACCACGAGCUUUGGAGUAUUAUGAUGAAGUGAAGGCAAAUGGUUUUGCUUCUGACCCGAUACUUGAAAAGGAAUUCAAAAAAAUUCUAUUGGCCAACAGAGACCAUUGGCGAGGAGUAGGCAGAUACAAUCUUAUUCCACAUCGUACCAAACAUUUUACAAGCAGGACAAGAAUUCCGUAACACAAGUGUCACUGUUAAGGGGCUUCUUUGUACGACAGAAGUAAAUGUGAACAAAUGUGAUUGUGAG
Molecule: RNA transcript, 2483 nt
Organism: Hordeum vulgare subsp. vulgare (domesticated barley)
Lineage: Eukaryota; Viridiplantae; Streptophyta; Magnoliopsida; Poales; Poaceae
Gene name: pentatricopeptide repeat-containing protein At1g80880, mitochondrial-like
Exons: 10
Source: RefSeq, a predicted model, not a curated record